Molecule: ribosomal RNA, 342 nt
Filed under: Pheidole xanthogaster
Lineage: Eukaryota; Metazoa; Arthropoda; Insecta; Hymenoptera; Formicidae
Description: partial 12S ribosomal RNA
Source: RNAcentral
UUGUAAUAAAAAUAUUAAUUAUUAAAAAAUUAAAUGAAAUCAUUAAAUUUUAAUAAUUUGGCGGUAUUUUAAAUAAUUAGAGGAAUUUGUUUAAUAAAUGAUAAUCCACGAAUGGAGUGUCCUGAUAAAUUUUUUAUGUAUUGUUGUAUAAAAAUUAUUUUAUAAGAAAUAUAAUUAAUAUAUUUUAUUUAAUUUGAAUUCAAAUCAAAAUGUAGAAUUAUUAGGUUUUAAUGAAUUACAAUUUAAUUAAAUAUUAGAAUUAUUUUUUUAAAUAAAAUAAUGAAAUAGGAUUUAAAAGUAAAUUUAAAAAAAUAUUUAAGUUGAAAUAUUAAUUAAAAUAUG